CAGGAUCAGCCCAGUUCACCAUGUUGUAUUUCACUGUUGAGUCUCAGAGCUUUAAAUUUCUGGGGCUCUGUAGGAGUCAGAUCAAUGUUCCCCCCCCUUUUGCAAAUGUGGAAGUGAGUUAGAUAACUUCAUCAUGUUGUCCAAAGCCAUAGCAGGGCAGUGUCCGUGACGGAUUUAUAACUGUGGAGUUAGGGACUCCCGAUCCAGUGCUCUCAUGAGAUCACUCUGCCUGUCCUCCCCGUGUUCAGCCCAGAUGUUACUCGGGAUAAUUCCUCCCUCCAAACAAACAACAAAGUUCCUGCUAAUGCAGAGUCUGGACGUUGGGACGAGAUGUCAGCCUCGUCAUGAGGAUGAGGAUUAUUAUGGAAGACAGACACCGUCUCCAGCAUGGAGCCGGAAAUUGCUCAUCAAGGGAAGAGCUCAGGCGAGGAUGUUGUCGAUGGCUUUUUGUGAAUAAAGCAUUUAGUUCUGAAGGGAGCGUGUCAUCUCCUGCCCAGUGCUCGAGUAGAACAGCCAUUGUGCUCGCUGGCACUCCAUCAAACUGCUUCUUGGGCAUCGUUAUUGGAGCAGCUGAAAUGUCUAACAGUGAGCACAACCAAGACUUCCAGAUGGUGGAGCAAAUGGAAGAGACGGGCGAAAGAAAAGCUGGCGAUGGAAAAGGUCCAGAGUUCAACCCAAGUGGAGGCAAGGAGUCCCCAUCUGUGACUUCUGAGUCUACUCCCUUCCCAAAUUCUUAUGUCAACCAGCAUGCCAUGAGGAAAUUCUUUGUUACAAGGCCAGGAGCAUUUGACCAAGCCAUAGAAGAUCUAAAAAUCCAUGUGGUCAAGAAUUCGGGGGAAACUGCUCAGAGCUUCUGGCUUUUGUCCGAGUGAGUAGCCAUGAUGUAUGGGGCACUGGCUGAGGUGGUGGCUUUGUUAUGGGCUGUCAGAAAUAAAGCAACAAUGGGAGGGAAGGGGUGUCA
RNAcentral lists this long non-coding RNA (961 nucleotides) under Chrysemys picta bellii (western painted turtle). RNAcentral's name for it is "lncRNA (ENSCPBG00000012774.1)". The record is from RNAcentral. Lineage: Eukaryota; Metazoa; Chordata; Testudines; Emydidae.